This is a non-coding RNA of Cricetulus griseus (Chinese hamster), 207 nucleotides long. NCBI's taxonomy places the organism in Eukaryota, Metazoa, Chordata, Mammalia, Rodentia, Cricetidae. The record is from Rfam.
CUGCGCCCUCGGUCGAAGAGGACGACCUUCCCCGAAUAGAGGAGGACCGGUCUUCGGUCAAGGGUAUACGAGUAGCUGUGCUCCCCUGCUAGAACCUCCAAACAAGCUCUCAAGGUCUAGUCAUAAAUUUUUAAAGAAAUAACGUCAGUGAAUAUUUGCUAUUGAGAAUAUUGGGGCUAAGUUUGUGACCAGUAUAUUCAUGUGCAU